UGCUAGUUGCUGUGUUGGUAAUUUGGUAUAUAGUUUUUUAAUAUGGAUACAAAUCAAAAUGAGGGAAAUGUUGAUCAAGCUCCUAAUUUGCCCUAUGAAGAUGUUGAUGCCGACUUUGAGCUCACCCCUUGGACUUGAUUUAAUGAUUGUGUUAUCUUUAACUUGCUCUAGUUGAUUUAAAUUGAGAACAUAUUUUGUACUAAAAACUAGUUUAUUAACUCUUCCUUUAGAUUAUUAGUUAUGUUUAAGACUUGAUAUUUGAUUAUUAAUGUUUGUAAGACUCGCAUUUUAAGUUUUAAGACAUUAUUUCAAUUUUAUUAA
Non-coding RNA from Arachis ipaensis, 321 nucleotides. NCBI's taxonomy places the organism in Eukaryota, Viridiplantae, Streptophyta, Magnoliopsida, Fabales, Fabaceae. The record is from RefSeq and is a predicted model, not a curated record.